RNAcentral lists this unclassified non-coding RNA (334 nucleotides) under soil metagenome. RNAcentral describes it as "partial contains 5.8S ribosomal RNA, internal transcribed spacer 2, and large subunit ribosomal RNA". The stretch from base 1 to 120 matches the Rfam family "5.8S ribosomal RNA", at positions 35 to 154 of the family's 154-position model. The record is from RNAcentral.
GAUGAAGAACGUAGCGAAAUGCGAUAAGUAGUGUGAAUUGCAGAAUUCAGUGAAUCAUCGAAUCUUUGAACGCACAUUGCGCCCUUUGGUAUUCCUUAGGGCAUGCCUGUUCGAGCGUCAUUUAAACCUUCAAGCUAAGCUUGGUGUUGGGUGACUGUCCGCUUCACGGCGGACUCGCCUCAAAAUUAUUGGCGGCCGGUACAUUGGCUCUCGAGCGCAGCAGAAACGCGUAACUCGAGGUCCUCGUGCUGGCUCCCAGAAGCUAUCUUCACAAUUUUGACCUCGGAUCAGGUAGGGAUACCCGCUGAACUUAAGCAUAUCAAUAAGCGGAGGA